UCAGAUGAGAUGAGUGUGGAUGAGUAUACAGACAGAUUCUUGGAGCUGUUGCCGUUUGCUGGGCAGAAUCUGGACACAGAUCAGAAGAAGUCAAGGAGGUAUAUCAUGAGGCUCCAUUCCAGGUAUUCCUCCUUGAUUCAGUCAGCAGAGAGGGAGAGUUUCCAUGCCAUAGUGGAUAUGGCUCGGAGGAUGGAGGCUAGUGCAAUCAUCGAGGGA
RNAcentral lists this long non-coding RNA (216 nucleotides) under Manihot esculenta (cassava). RNAcentral's name for it is "long non-coding RNA (MESC_LNC009283)". The record is from RNAcentral. Lineage: Eukaryota; Viridiplantae; Streptophyta; Magnoliopsida; Malpighiales; Euphorbiaceae.